Molecule: long non-coding RNA, 4028 nt
Organism: Macadamia integrifolia
Lineage: Eukaryota; Viridiplantae; Streptophyta; Magnoliopsida; Proteales; Proteaceae
Exons: 4
Source: RefSeq, a predicted model, not a curated record
CAUAUUCUAGGGUUUUGUAUCUUCUCAAGUUGAAGUUUGGUUAUCUAUUUCCUUUGUACAUCUUUUUGCUGAGAUCAACUAUUGUUCCUUCAGAGGAUGGGGAGAGCAUCGAUUUAUGCCUUUUAGAUUUCUUUAGUUAAUAUUUUCAUCUUUGCUUCACUUCUUUUGUUUUCUGAUUUCUACUAUUGUGUUGUGAUUUCUACCUCUGAUAAUUUGUUUCUUCCACAGAAGGCAUUUUUCCUUUCACAGGGAAGGAAAUGAUUGAUUGGAUUCUUGGUAUACAGUACAACUAACAUUCUUAUGAUUAAUUUCUCUCUGUUUUUUCUUGUGUAGACUGGAAAAUGGUUCAGAAGUAUUCCAAUUUGAAUUUCUACUUUUAGCUGCUUUAAUUUUGUUGUGCAUCGCCCCUGUUUUGUGCGUUAUUUAGUUGGUAAAGAUGGACAUGCCAUUUAUAUGUGUUUGGGUGCAUGAUGUAAUUUUUUUUGUUUAAUACCAUGUGUGGGAAUCAAUACCGAGUAUGCAUGACAAACAUAGACAAGAAUAUUGUCACAGACAAAAAUAUCGACAAAAAACGUUUUGCACAUCGGACCUAAGAACACAUUUAUUCUAUUUAUGGAAUUUUAAUGGCUAUGGGUCACAUUUUGCUGUGGUAUUAAUUGUCUCAUAAUCAGUCAAAAGAUUGAAAGUUUUGUACUAAACCUCUGGCCAUUCUUCCAAGAAUGGAUUUUUAAAAUUCGGUGUUUCUAUCUAUAAAAUGUGAUAAAAAACAAGAUUUUUUGGUAGCCUUCCAGUACUUAGGGUGAGAGGCUUAUUUGAUCUGAGUUGAGAUCUUAUUUUUCAAUGUUUUUGGACUUCCUCUUUAAUGUGAAGACUACUACUAUCAUAAAAAUUACUUUAUGCGACUUGAUGGAUCGUUGCCUUCAGAUUAUAGUUGAGUGCGAUUAAAACUGAGGGAGGUCCAUAUGAUUGAAGUCCUAAUUGAAUAAAAUGAUAAUUCUUGGGGGUUAAAAGCUGAGGGAAAAAAUGUUAUAUGAAUUAGUCCAAGAAGUUUAGAUAUUUUUCCAUAAAAGCUCUAUUGUAUUACUAGAUAUUUAGAUUCCUCAUCAGUUGAUUUGUAUUACUACAUAUUCAGAUUCUCCUUUUCUUCUAAUCUACCGAUAUGAUACUAAGAAAGAAACUGGAGGUUCAUUUUGUAUAGAAUACUAUUCAGAUUAUUAGUUGUCACUAAACUUAAAUAUAGGAUGUCAUAAAAUGAUAGCAUUAAAAGCAUGAGUGUGCUGUUGAAAGUCUAAGAGACACUUCCCUUUAGCUUCUUUUUUAUUUUUUUAUACUUUAUUUUAUCUCUGUAUUGCCUCUUGAUAGAGUUCUUUGGGUUUACAAGAUAUCACAAAAAAUUGAUUCACUACUUCUUUAAUGUAAAAACAUGUUGUCAUUGCAGUCCAUGGAUUUACGGAAUUUAUCAGGAUUUACUACUUCUAGAAUCAUGUUUUAUACUCAAUUUUUUUUUUUAUUAUAUGUGGUUAUGGUAUUAUGAAAAGGGAAAAGGUCAUUUGAAUGAUCCAUCUUGGUAAGCUUAUUAGGGUGCUCACCACUUUUUAGUCACGUGUGGAAUGUCAGUAAAAUGUUUUGGUUCUUCCCUACAUGGAGCCAAUCAUAUCUUUAUUUACUUUAUCCUGAGUAAUUAUAACUUUUUAAGAGUUAAAAUAUGUAUUUUCAUGUAUUACACAUGCCAUCAAAGAGUUUCCAUCUGUAUUUCAACUUUCAAUUGUUGAUUUCACCAUAUCUAUCCUAUAAAUGACUUGAUAAUCCUCCGGCCUUUUUUUUUUUUUUUUUUGCUAAAUAUCAGCAAUAAUUAUGUUACUAAAAUAAGGAAAUGGAUGUACAGAGAUAAAUUUAUCUCGGGCAUUCCCAGACUGGAAGAAUAUACAAAUUGAUUAAAUCUCCACCUUCGGCAUUGCCAUCAGUAGAGAAAACCAACUUAAGACUAAUCAAAUUACUUGAGGAUUGUUUUCCAUUAAUGUAGUUGAAAUGGCAGCAGAUGUGCUCACUUGGAGGUGUGAGAAUUCAGUUUGAAGCUCUGUCACCUCAUUCGUGCGUCUCAUGGGCAGUGAGCAUCCCCCAUUGUCAAGCUAAAAAAUUUCAUUCCCAUUGGGACUAGUCAAUACUUCUUGCUUAUCCUGUUUCCUAUACAAUCUCUCACCUUCAGAUGAAUUUGUUAUUUCUUGAAUUAUCUGGCCCUUCUCUGGUGUUACCGUUGCAAACUGUAUGGAUGCAACCCCGUCUGAGGGAUAGUCAGCCAUUGUUUUGGGUGUGAAUUAAGAUCAUAACUGUGAUGAAGAACUGGUAAUCCAUCUGUAAUCAAAAAAUUACUACAGAGGAACAGUAGAACAAUCAUAGGAAGGAAAGUAAACAAAUUGGAGUAAUAAGAGAAGACCUUGUGUUAACUCACUCAGAGGCUCAGAUUGGCAAUUGCUGUUAUUCCAGAACUCAGAGUUGGUUGAGCGAUCUUGGUUCAUAUUAUAAUUGCUUGCAUAAUAAUAGAUGAGGAAAAAAGAUAUAAAUUGGGCAUUCCCAGACUGGAAGAAAAUAAGACUUUGAUUAAAUCUCCACCUUCGGCGUUGCCAUCAGCAGAGAAAAUCAACUCAAGACUAAUCAAAUUACUUAAGGAUCCACCUUUGGCAGAAACUGAAAAGCAAAAGAAAGACGAAGCAUCCCAGAGAAAGUCAUAUACGAUCAUUUCAAAUUCUGCCAUCAUGUCCCUUGCUGCAAGAUUUCCCCUGCAGUCAAACAGCAAUAAGAGAGCAUAUUGUAGAAUGAGAAGUGGAUAAGAGCAAUGAUCUGAUGAUGGUGUAGCCUGCGAAGAAUUGCCUUGCUUGUUCUUUCUCAACAAAUGGUACAUGAGAUUGCUAUUGGGAUCAUUUUGACGUUUUGACAUAGAUUGUGAGCCACACUGCUAAAUGGCACACGUUUUGCUACUGAUUUCCUCUGCUUGAGCAUGUCGUUGGAUGAGAGGAUGGCUGUUUUUGCCAUUGCUUAGGCUGGAACAUGGCUUCAUUUCUCUUCCUUGGUCUUCCAAGUCAAAAUUUAGCACCUGCCUCCCCUACAGCCUCUGCAAGUGGAUUUUCUGAGGUUUCGAGGCCUUUCGUCCUCACAUGCUUCCUCUUCCCUGUUGGGUUCUGUUUGUCACUUGCCAGCUUUGGAGUCACGGGCUUCGGAGUCCUUUUGCAUUUGCCUUGUACGACGACUGUGGGCCUGUGCUUCUUCCUUUUAGGCGUUUGCUGUGGUGUCUUGUUCAGAUCAAAGCUAUUGUCGCCUACCUUUCCAAAGUCAUGGUUUUCCUUUAGUGUGGUUGAAACUUGAAACAGAAACGGAAGAUGUGCCCACCAGGAUAUGUGAGAGUUCACUUUGAAGCUUAACCACCUCGCUCAUGCAACUCAUGGGCCUUGAACAGCCCCCAUUGUUGGGCUUGAUCGCUUCGUUCCUGUUGGGAGUAACAAAAACUCCUGCUUAUCCUUGUACAAUCUUUCACCUACAGAUAAAUCUGCCCUUUCAGACCAUGGCUGGUCCUGAAUUAUCUGGUCCAUAUCUGGUGUUAAAAGUCCAAACCGCAUGGACAUGGCCCUGUUCGAGACACCAUCAGCUAUUGUUUUGCGCAGUGAAUUAUGAUCAUAGCUUUUGAUGGUGAACUGGAAAUCUAUCUAUAAAGCAUGUCAAAAAGAAAAAAAGGAGCACAAACAAUUUUUUCUCCCAUUAUUGUGAUCGAUUCAUAGUUUCAAUCCGAUUACACGGGGUGAUUUUUUGUCAUGACGGGUUUCCUCAUACAUGAUAUUGUUCACUUGAUCAAGGGAAUAAGGCAUGUGAUUCUGAUUUAUCUAGUAUUUGUCAUGGCGGAUUUUGAGGGGAGGGUUUUUGUACUCUAGUGAAUCCACCUAUUUGGUGAGGUGUUUUGUAAUCUAAGAGGGAUUUUUCUUUUGAUGAUUGGUAGCCUCUAAUAUUAACUAGAGAAUGUCAUACCACGUUAUUUACAA